This is a long non-coding RNA of Spinacia oleracea (spinach), 763 nucleotides long. RefSeq lists it as uncharacterized. The transcript is spliced from 3 exons. The record is from RefSeq and is a predicted model, not a curated record. Lineage: Eukaryota; Viridiplantae; Streptophyta; Magnoliopsida; Caryophyllales; Amaranthaceae.
CAAUUAAGAUAAUUUAUUUGUUUAAUUUCCAGUGAUUUUGAAUUUAGGGUUCUUAUUUUUAUCCUUUUUCUAAUUUUAUCCUUACUUUCCAAUGAUUUUGAAUUUAGGAUUCUUAUUUUUAUCCCUUUUGUAAUUUACUGUUUGACAGAAACAGAGGAAAUCCGUCAUGUUUAGAAAAAAUUUACCCUCCCUUUUUCGGAUCUUCGUCAUCAUCUCCAGCUUCCAAUGGCUUCAAUGCCAGUUAAUGCAAAAGACCAGAUCAUUAUGCCGAAAAGUUGUAUCGACUGCGCUGUUAGGUCUUACUGGUGGUGUUGCGUUGAGUGUCGUUGAUGACCUUGCUAUCUAGUAUCUACCAGGGUUGUAGCAGUUGAUGCAAGGACCUUUGCGGCCGCCAGGAGCUUUCCCGCACCAAGCACAUUUUGAUAGAGGUUGGACCAACGACAUCUUUAUCGAUCCAAGUGUAAUGUAUUGCAACUUUGCUUAAAGAAAAUGGUCAUUGAAGAUGACAUUAUUGAAGUUUCCAACAGAGAGGAUGGAAAUGCAUGGCAAUGCAGAGGAGUGACUUCACUUCCCUUUUGUCCAACAUGCUCAUUUGCAAGCUACAUAUGUAUACAUAAUCACUUGCAAGCAUGUUUUUAUUGGCUCUGUAUAAGUCUUUUUUUGCUCUUUAACAAAAUUAUGCAAUCUUAAUUAAACUUUAGAUCUUUUGGUUGCAGUUUUUUCUAGAGGAAUAUGGAAGAGGUUAAAACCUUUUAUGUCUAUU